GUUGGCCAGUCUGUCGCUGAUACCGAUGGUAUAAGAGGAAAGUCCGGGCAACACAGAGCAUCCUACUUCCUAACAGAAAGCUAUUGGUGACAGUAGAGUAAUGCAGAAGAAAAUAACCGCUAUUUAUAGUAAGGGUGAGAAGGUAAGGUAAGAGCUUACCAGCUGUAUGGUGACAUAUAGGCUGUGCAUCUUAGGAGUUGUAAGGUCAUGUAUACUGGCAUUAAUGAGAGUUGCUCGCUCCACGUCAGAGGGUAGACCGCUUGAACUUAACGGUAACGUUAAGUCUAGAUAAAUGACAGACACUUCUUUGUAAGACAGAACCCGGCUUAUCGGUCGACUGUU
RNAcentral lists this RNase P RNA (342 nucleotides) under uncultured Phocaeicola sp. RNAcentral's name for it is "Bacterial RNase P class A". It matches the Rfam family "Bacterial RNase P class A". Rfam says of the family: Ribonuclease P (RNase P) is a ubiquitous endoribonuclease, found in archaea, bacteria and eukarya as well as chloroplasts and mitochondria. The record is from RNAcentral. Lineage: Bacteria; Pseudomonadati; Bacteroidota; Bacteroidia; Bacteroidales; Bacteroidaceae.